This 465-nucleotide ribosomal RNA is filed under the name Vreelandella stevensii. RNAcentral describes it as "partial 16S ribosomal RNA". It matches the Rfam family "Bacterial small subunit ribosomal RNA", at positions 338 to 795 of the family's 1533-position model. Lineage: Bacteria; Pseudomonadati; Pseudomonadota; Gammaproteobacteria; Oceanospirillales; Halomonadaceae. The record is from RNAcentral.
CCUACGGGUGGCAGCAGUGGGGAAUAUUGGACAAUGGGCGAAAGCCUGAUCCAGCCAUGCCGCGUGUGUGAAGAAGGCCUACGGGUUGUAAAGCACUUUCAGUGGGGAAGAAAGCCUUGGGGCUAAUACCCUCGAGGAAGGACAUCACCCACAGAAGAAGCACCGGCUAACUCCGUGCCAGCAGCCGCGGUAAUACGGAGGGUGCGAGCGUUAAUCGGAAUUACUGGGCGUAAAGCGCGCGUAGGCGGUCUGAUAAGCCGGUUGUGAAAGCCCCGGGCUCAACCUGGGAACGGCAUCCGGAACUGUCAGGCUAGAGUGCAGGAGAGGAAGGUAGAAUUCCCGGUGUAGCGGUGAAAUGCGUAGAGAUCGGGAGGAAUACCAGUGGCGAAGGCGGCCUUCUGGACUGACACUGACGCUGAGGUGCGAAAGCGUGGGUAGCAAACAGGAUUAGAUACCCCGGUAGUC